RNAcentral lists this ribosomal RNA (460 nucleotides) under uncultured bacterium. RNAcentral describes it as "partial 16S ribosomal RNA". It matches the Rfam family "Bacterial small subunit ribosomal RNA", at positions 338 to 795 of the family's 1533-position model. The record is from RNAcentral.
CCUACGGGAGGCUGCAGUGAGGAAUAUUGGUCAAUGGACGAGAGUCUGAACCAGCCAAGUAGCGUGAAGGAUGACUGCCCUAUGGGUUGUAAACUUCUUUUAUAUGGGAAUAAAAUGUUCCACGUGUGGGAUUUUGUAUGUACCAUAUGAAUAAGGAUCGGCUAACUCCGUGCCAGCAGCCGCGGUAAUACGGAGGAUCCGAGCGUUAUCCGGAUUUAUUGGGUUUCAAGGGAGCGUAGGUGGAUUGUUAAGUCAGUUGUGAAAGUUUGCGGCUCAACCGUAAAAUUGCAGUUGAAACUGGCAGUCUUGAGUACAGUAGAGGUGGGCGGAAUUCGUGGUGUAGCGGUGAAAUGCUUAGAUAUCACGAAGAACUCCGAUUGCGAAGGCAGUUCACUGGACUGCAACUGACACUGAGGCUCGAAAGUGUGGGUAUCAAACAGGAUUAGAUACCCGAGUAGUC